RNAcentral lists this ribosomal RNA (2683 nucleotides) under Lodderomyces parapsilosis. RNAcentral describes it as "Candida parapsilosis large subunit ribosomal RNA". It matches the Rfam family "Bacterial large subunit ribosomal RNA". Lineage: Eukaryota; Fungi; Ascomycota; Pichiomycetes; Serinales; Debaryomycetaceae. The record is from RNAcentral.
AAAGGAGACAUGAUUUGAAAAAGUUAUAAAUGAUAUUAAUAUUAAUAUAUGGAAACUCAUAAAUUAUAUAUAUAUAAUAUAUAUAUAAGACUUAUGUUAUAGAAAGGAUAAAUUAGUUUGGCAUAAGCCGAUCCUAACUAGAAAUAGUAAAUAAAAAAGUAUGUGAAUUGAAACAUCUUAGUAACAUAUGUAAAAACCAAUAGGGAUAACAGUAGUAUCGGUGAGAGAAUCUGUUGUUGUAUACAAGUAAUACUUAGAAGUAUGAAUAAAGUAGUAUCUACUACUAAUACAUAAACUAUAACAUAAAGUUAAAAGUACUGUAAAGGAAAGAGUUAAAAAAUCAAAUUAUAUAAUAAAAAUAUAUAUAAGAGAUAAAAAGAAAUAUAUUAAUAAAGAGCAACUAUAGUAUAGUGUACCUCUUGUAUAAUGGGUCAGUGAGUUAUUUUUAUAAGCGAAAUAAGAAUUAUAUAUAAUAAGAUAAAGUUUAUAGGAAUAGACCCGAAAGCACAUGAUCUAUAUAUGUAUAGAUAUAUAUUUAAAAUAAAUAUAUGAUCAAAUAGGUAGAUGUAGCAAUAUCUUCUAAAGAUAUGUGUAUAGUAGUGAAAGGCAAAACUGAUGUGCAGAUAGCUGGUUAUCUACGAAAUAUAUGUUAGUAUAGCCCUUAUAAUAGCGUAAACCCUGGUAAAGCACUUAAUACCAUAUGGGAAUAAAUUUAUUUACUAUAUGUAUUAAACCUCUGAACAGGAGUGAUAUGACAUAUAAGGAGUCAGACUUAUUGCGAUAAGGUAAUAAGUCGAAAAGGGAAUAACCUAGACUAUUAAAUGAAGGUCCCAAAUCCUCAUUAAGUGAAUACAAUCCUAUGAGUAGAUAAAUACCUCAAUAUAUUCCAUAAAGGAAUAAUUUUGAUCAGACAAUUAGUCAGUGGGUUUGAUAAUAAUCACCUGUUAAAGAACAUGUAAAAAUGCACUAAUAGAAUUUAUAUCAAAAAAAGAUAUAUAAAUCAAAAGAUAGGAACAAAUAUACGGGUCUAAAUGUAGGAACCGAAUAAUAGAUAUAAUAAAAAAUAUUAUAUAGUAGUAGAUUAUAUAGUGAUAAUAACUAUAAAGACAAUGCUGACUUGAGUAACGAUAGGUAAUUAAGGAUUACCCCUACAAAACACAAGGUUUAACUAUAAAUUAACGGUAUCUAAGUAUAUAUAUGAAGAUAUAUAUAUGAUGAUAGAUAGUACAGGAAAAUGUAGUAACCGUACCGCAGUCCGACCCAGGUGUGUAAAUGAUAAAAAAUAAUCAUAAUAUAAAUCUUAUAACUAAUAAGAAAGAUAUUGAGUAGGAAUGGGUGAAGUAUCAUAAAUGAACUCGGCAAAUAAGGCAAGGCCUGAAUAGUACGACUGUUUACCAAAAACACAGCUUACUGCAAAUAGGAAACUAUCGGUAUAGUAAGUGAUAUCUGUCCGGUGUAAGUUAGAUAAAUAAAUAAUUGACUUAUAAACGACGGUCUUAUCAUGAGGAUCUGAAAGUAGCAAAAUUCAUUGGCAUAUAAUUGGUGUCCCGCAUGAAUGAUUAUACGAUACUAUAGCUGUAUCUAUGGUAUACCCAGUGAAAUAGUAAUCGCAGUGAAGAUACUGUGUAGUCAUAGAUUGACAAAAAGACCCUAUGCAGCUUUACUAUAUUCUUAUACUGUUAUAUAUAUAUAUAUUUAAAUUAAAUAUUUUUAUUUAUAUGUUUAUUUCUUUAUAUAUAUAACUAACCUUUAUUAAGGUACCAUAUAAGAUGGUUAGUUUCGAUGGGGCGUCGGCAUCACAAAACAUAACUGAUGUGUCUAAAUGAUAUUUUAUAUUCCCUUAUAUUUUAUUACUUUUUAGUUUUAUUUAUAAGGCCAUCAUCUUUUUAAGAUAAUAAUAGAAUAAAUAAGUACAGAUACACUAGUUGGCAACUAGUAUUAAUUAAUAUAAUAUUAUUUAUUAUAUUAUUCCUCAUUUUUGAUGUGGAAUCAUAUAUGUAAUACAUAUAUAAUUAAUUUUAUUUAUAAGGAUAAUAACAUAACUGUGCUAUGAUAAUGACACAUACUUGUGGAAUUAGUACUUAAGUAUAGUAUAUUGAACAGGCAAUAUCAUUAGAAUUGAGUGUCGAUUACGGAUUAAAGUUACGCUAGGGAUAAACAGGGUAAUAUCGCUAGAGAGUUGAUAUCGUCAGCGAUGUUUGCCACCUCGAUUGUCGUCUAGACUUAUCCUAUUGGUCGUAGAAGCUAAUAAGGGUACGACUGUUCGUCGUUUAAAAAGUUACUUGAGAUGGGUUAAUUACGACGUGAGUCAGUAAUGAUUUUAUCAUCUAUGACGUUAAUAGUAAUAUGUAAUUAUAUGUGUACGAAAGGAUUAUAUAAUAUAGUUCAAUGGUGAAGAGCUUUUGAUUCUUAGCUAAAACUAUAAAGGAUAAAUAUUGAUAGCUUAUUAAAUAUUAAGCCUUACAUAUUCACUAUAUAAACAUUAAAGAUAAUAAUGUAAUAGUAAUAUAUCUAUGCUUUAUUCUUAUAUAAGAAUAUAGAGGAUAUAAUAAACUAAUAAAUAUAAUCAUUUAUAAUAACAAAUCAUGUCAAAUUAUUUAUAUAUAUUUAUACUAUAUAUUAUUUAUAUUUAAUUAUAUAUAUUAUACAUAUAUUUUUAUAUAAAAAUAUAAAAGUUAGUUAG